Molecule: ribosomal RNA, 649 nt
Filed under: Bacillus subtilis
Lineage: Bacteria; Bacillati; Bacillota; Bacilli; Caryophanales; Bacillaceae
Description: bacterial SSU rRNA
Rfam family: Bacterial small subunit ribosomal RNA
Source: RNAcentral
GAGAUGUGGAGGAACACCAGUGGCGAAGGCGACUCUCUGGUCUGUAACUGACGCUGAGGAGCGAAAGCGUGGGGAGCGAACAGGAUUAGAUACCCUGGUAGUCCACGCCGUAAACGAUGAGUGCUAAGUGUUAGGGGGUUUCCGCCCCUUAGUGCUGCAGCUAACGCAUUAAGCACUCCGCCUGGGGAGUACGGUCGCAAGACUGAAACUCAAAGGAAUUGACGGGGGCCCGCACAAGCGGUGGAGCAUGUGGUUUAAUUCGAAGCAACGCGAAGAACCUUACCAGGUCUUGACAUCCUCUGACAAUCCUAGAGAUAGGACGUCCCCUUCGGGGGCAGAGUGACAGGUGGUGCAUGGUUGUCGUCAGCUCGUGUCGUGAGAUGUUGGGUUAAGUCCCGCAACGAGCGCAACCCUUGAUCUUAGUUGCCAGCAUUCAGUUGGGCACUCUAAGGUGACUGCCGGUGACAAACCGGAGGAAGGUGGGGAUGACGUCAAAUCAUCAUGCCCCUUAUGACCUGGGCUACACACGUGCUACAAUGGACAGAACAAAGGGCAGCGAAACCGCGAGGUUAAGCCAAUCCCACAAAUCUGUUCUCAGUUCGGAUCGCAGUCUGCAACUCGACUGCGUGAAGCUGGAAUCGCUAGUAAU